GUGUGUGUGUGUGUGUGUGUGUGUGUGUGUGUGUGUGUGUGUGUGUUUGAUCAGCAGGAAGCGUGUGUGUGUAGACUGAAUACACCCCCAGUGGGCUUUGGGACCCUGAAGUUUUACCUGCUUUAGCUGUAACGAUACAUGAUGAGUAAGACAUGACAAAUACAUUGGCUUCGAACACUGCUUUAAUUUCCUGUCUUUGGUAUUAACACACUUACACACACACACACACACACACACACACACACAUAUGAACACACACACAUGCACGCAGAAACCCAAAUGUAAUAAAGCAAAGACUAUCACAGCCUAAUUCAUUCUAUAUUCAUUUUCAGGAAGUGGCAAUUUUUUUUUAUUACAAUUGAUAAUCUAUGCAAAUCUUUUAAAUAUUACUUUAAAUAAUCUACGUCUAUGCACUGCUUUUACAAUUGAUUCAAGGAAGACUGUCUUGGCCUAAUUUAGAAAAUGUAUUCUUUUGAUAAUCAUGCACAUCCCAGUGCUCAAGACAAUUACUUAUCUGCCUGGAUAGGCUUGAAAUUAUGUUUUUAAUCUCCAGUUAAGAAAAAAAAAAAAGUCACUCUUCUGAUAUCAGUCCAGAGGCAUGGAACCAUAAAUUAGACUGGUUAGACCUUUAAAUUCACAUUAAACAAAGUAUUCAGUGUGAGUUGUUUAUUGUUUAAUAUGAGUACCUAUCUUUGUGUGAUACAACUGAAACCCUGUGAGUGAGUGUUCACCCUGUGCCUUCUGCGUUGGAAUUGUAAUAAAAGUUUACAUUGAAAACAAAGGAAA
This is a long non-coding RNA of Sphaeramia orbicularis (orbiculate cardinalfish), 786 nucleotides long. RefSeq lists it as uncharacterized. NCBI's taxonomy places the organism in Eukaryota, Metazoa, Chordata, Actinopteri, Kurtiformes, Apogonidae. The record is from RefSeq and is a predicted model, not a curated record. The transcript is spliced from 2 exons.